UUCUCUUUCUUCCUUCCCAUUUCGUCUUUUCCUUAGCCUCUUUGUUCAUCUUUUCUUUUUCCGUUUGAGGGCUAUUUAAGAUCGUGAAACUUCAAUUAUGCCAGAAGAUUGUUGUGUGCUUCAAUGGUGACUUUUUUUUUAAUGAUCUUCAGGUAAAAUAUGGUGUUUGUUUCUUGGGGAUAUUUUGUUCCCCACACAACUGAAGAAGACAUUUACACCAUUCCUUGGAUGUCAUCAAGCAUCUAUGAUGAUAUUUCAAAUCUUUGUGUCUAAUUGUAAAAACAAUUAUUCACAAUUUCAUUUGGAUGAAAACUCUAGCACUAUUGGUUAUUUAUAUUUUUAUUCUGUCUAA
This is a long non-coding RNA of Coffea eugenioides, 352 nucleotides long. RefSeq lists it as uncharacterized. The record is from RefSeq and is a predicted model, not a curated record. NCBI's taxonomy places the organism in Eukaryota, Viridiplantae, Streptophyta, Magnoliopsida, Gentianales, Rubiaceae. The transcript is spliced from 2 exons.